CAGUCGCCACGGGAAUACGAAGGGUGCAAGCGUUACUCGGAAUUACUGGGCGUAAAGCGUGCGUAGGUGGUGGUUUAAGUCCGUUGUGAAAGCCCUGGGCUCAACCUGGGAAUUGCAGUGGAUACUGGGUCACUAGAGUGUGGUAGAGGAUAGUGGAAUUUCCGGUGUAGCAGUGAAAUGCGUAGAGAUCGGAAGGAACAUCUGUGGCGAAGGCGACUAUCUGGGCCAACACUGACACUGAGGCACGAAAGCGUGGGGAGCAAACAGGAUUAGAUACCUCGGUAGUCCCUGUCUCUUAUAC
RNAcentral lists this ribosomal RNA (301 nucleotides) under uncultured bacterium. RNAcentral describes it as "partial 16S ribosomal RNA". It matches the Rfam family "Bacterial small subunit ribosomal RNA", at positions 509 to 807 of the family's 1533-position model. The record is from RNAcentral.